This 1374-nucleotide long non-coding RNA is filed under the name Ananas comosus (pineapple). Its description in RNAcentral is "long non-coding RNA (ACOM_LNC020557)". Lineage: Eukaryota; Viridiplantae; Streptophyta; Magnoliopsida; Poales; Bromeliaceae. The record is from RNAcentral.
UAGAUUUCUAAAGGAUGAACAAAAUGAGUGUUUUGCGAUCUGUUGGGAAUUGGCUAGAUUUAUGGUUGAUUUUCUAGUUGGGUAAAAAUUAAUAUUUAAAUCUAUUGAAGAUAAAUUAAGAUUUAAAUAUUAAUUAGAGUAUAAAUCUAACUAUAUUAUGAUAAAUAUUUAAAUUUAUUGGAGAUAAAUUAAAUAUAGAUUUAAAUAUUAUUUGUAGGAAUCCUAAUUAUAUUAUAAUUGGAUUACGUUCUAUUGUAAGCAUCAGAAAGAGAGCUCGGAUUUGAAGCUAUUCCGUUAUAGAAGAAGAGUCAUGUGUAAUUUUAUCUUAUUUAGUGAAUCUUAUUUUAUCCAUAUAUUUUUUGUUUGAUUUUUUUUCUUUUGUAAUUGUAUUAGAUUUUGCCGAGGAGAUUGAUUUAUAAUAAAAAUCCGAUUCGACGCUUCCAUUGUGAAAUCCCAACAAUCGAUAACGGAUCAACAAUAGUCGAUAUAAGAGCGGGUUGUAAAUUCUUAAUAUUUGAUAUCAAGAAGAGUAACACUACCUUUUCUCUGAAAAUAAAGCAAAUAAAAGAGAAAAAGCUACUACAAUCAAAUGGUUGGGACCAUUCAAGUCAAAUAGCUCAAACAUAAUUUGUAUUUUGGUUACGAUAUGUAUAUAUCACAUGGUUUUUUUAGAUGGAUUUUAUGGCCGUAUCUUGUUAGAGAGAUGUAGAUUACUGAAUUAAUAUUUGGAAAGAGGAGGGGAAACUUUAAAUACCCCAUGUGGUUUCAUACUUUCUCACUUUACUAUCAUGUGAUUUAAAGUGUAUCAAGUUAGUACUAUGUGAUUUUACACUUUCUCAUUAUAGUACCUUGUGAUUUAAAGUAUAUCAAGUUAGUAUUCUCUAGUUUUAUUUUUGUAUCAAGUUUGUACUAUGUUCAUGGUUUCAUUUUUCUCUUUUUAUUAUCUAUUUCCGGAUAUUUUUUUCGUUAAAUUAAUAAUAAAAUUAAAACUAAAGGAUACUAAAAUGAAUAUUCGAUAAACCUAGCUAGGGUAUCUGAAGUUUUUUUGUAUAUAAUUUAACGAAAUAUUAAACCACAGGGUACUAAAGUGAGAAACUGCGAAACCAUAGGGUAUUAACUUGAUACACUUUAAACCACAGGGUACUAAAGUAAAAAAGUGCGAAACCAGAGGAUACUAACUUGAAACAGGGUACUAAAGUGAGAAAGUGCGAAACCACAGGUACUAAUUUACUACACUUUAAACCAUAUGGUACUAAAGUGAGAAAGUGCGAAACCACAGGGAGGUAUUUAAAGUUUUUUCUAAAAUGAAAGAGUUGGGAUAAAAGUAUAAAGAGGUAUGUUUUUUAAUUUUUCAUGAGAUUACAGCAAUUAUAA